GGAGAUGUGUCCGAGCUGGCUUAAGGAGCACGAUUGGAAAUCGUGUGGGUGUUAGUAGCGCCUCUAGGGUUCAAAUCCCUACAUCUCCGCCA
This 92-nucleotide transfer RNA is filed under the name Candidatus Cloacimonadota bacterium. RNAcentral's name for it is "tRNA-Ser". It matches the Rfam family "tRNA". Rfam says of the family: Transfer RNA (tRNA) molecules are approximately 80 nucleotides in length. Their secondary structure includes four short double-helical elements and three loops (D, anti-codon, and T loops). Lineage: Bacteria; Pseudomonadati; Candidatus Cloacimonadota. The record is from RNAcentral.